Molecule: ribosomal RNA, 344 nt
Filed under: Crassicauda giliakiana
Lineage: Eukaryota; Metazoa; Nematoda; Chromadorea; Rhabditida; Tetrameridae
Description: 28S ribosomal RNA
Rfam family: Eukaryotic large subunit ribosomal RNA
Source: RNAcentral
GAGACCUCAGCUCAGUCGUGAUUACCCGCUGAAUUUAAGCAUAUAACUAAGCGGAGGAAAAGAAACUAACGAGGAUUCUCCCAGUAACGGCGAGUGAACGGAGAGAAGCCCAGCGCUGAAUCAUUUGAUCACAAUGAUCAAAUUGAAAUGUAGCGUAUAGGUGUAACUAUCCCAUUGUUUUGUGCACUCAAAGUCCCCUUGAGCGGGGCCACAGUCCACAGAAGGUGCUAGACCUGUACGGGUGACGAAACAGUGAGUUGGUUGCUCCUUGGAGUCGGGUUGCCUGAGAUCGCAGCUCAAAGUGGGUGGUAAACCUCAUCUAAGGCUAAAUAUGGCCACGAGAC